GAUGAACGCUGGCGGCGUGCUUAAUACAUGCAAGUCGAACGGAGUAUGUAGCGAUAUAUACUUAGUGGCGAACGGGUGAGUAACGCGUUGGUGACCUGCCCCGAAGAGCGGGAUAACAGAUCGAAAGGUCUGCUAAUACCGCAUGAGCUCUCACGGGUUAGAGGGUGUGAGAGGAAAGGAGUGCGUCCGGAAGGACGCCCCGCUUUGGGAGGGGCCUGCGUCCCAUCAGCUAGUUGGCGGGGUAAAAGCCCACCAAGGCGAUGACGGGUAGGGGGCCUGAGAGGGUGACCCCCCACAAUGGAACUGAAACACGGUCCAUACACCUACGGGUGGCAGCAGUAGGGAAUAUUGGGGAAUGGGCGAAAGCCUGACCCAGCAACGCCGCGUGCGCGAAGAAGGCCUUCGGGUUGUAAAGCGCUUUUCUCAGGGAUGAGGAAGGACAGUACCUGAGGAAGAAGUCUCGGCUAACUACGUGCCAGCAGCCGCGGUAACACGUAGGAGACGAGCGUUAUCCGGAUUUACUGGGUGUAAAGCGCGUGUAGGCGGCGAGGUAAGUUGGAUGUGAAAGCUCCCGGCUUAACUGGGAGAGGUCGUUCAAGACUGCCUGGCUAGAGUGCAGCAGAGGGGAGUGGAAUUCCGAGUGUAGCGGUAAAAUGCAUAGAUAUUCGGAAGAACACCAGUGGCGAAGGCGGCUCUCUGGGCUGCAACUGACGCUCAGACGCGAAAGCUAGGGGAGCGAACGGGAUUAGAGACCCCGGUAGUCCUAGCCGUAAACGAUGUGAACUAGGCGUAGGCGGGUUGAAAUCCGUCUGUGCCGGAGCAAACGCGAUAAGUUCACCACCUGGGGACUACGGCCGCAAGGUUAAAACUCAAAGGAAUUGACGGGGGCCCGCACAAGCAGCGGAGCGUGUGGUUUAAUUCGAUGCUACACGAAGAACCUUACCAGGGUUUGACAUGCAAGUGGUAGUGAAGCGAAAGCGGAGCGACCCUUCGGGGAGCUUGCACAGGUGUUGCAUGGCUGUCGUCAGCUCGUGUCGUGAGAUGUUCGGUUAAGUCCGCUAACGAGCGCAACCCAUGCCGUGUGUUACAAGUGUCACACGGGACUGCCGGUCUUAAGCCGGAGGAAGGUGUGGAUGACGCCAAGUCAGCAUGACCUAUAUAUCCUGGGCUACACACACGCUACAAUGGCCGGUACAAUGGGUCGCGAAACCGCGAGGUGGAGCCAAUCCAGCAAAGCCGGUCUCAGUUCAGAUUGCAGUCUGCAACCCGACUGCAUGAAGACGGAGUUGCUAGUAACCGCAGGUCAAGCCAUACUGCGGUGAAUACGUUCCC
RNAcentral lists this ribosomal RNA (1332 nucleotides) under uncultured bacterium. RNAcentral's name for it is "bacterial SSU rRNA". It matches the Rfam family "Bacterial small subunit ribosomal RNA", at positions 28 to 1375 of the family's 1533-position model. The record is from RNAcentral.